CGGAUUUAAAAUUUACUGUACCAAGCUUAGAAAACAAUAUGGAAUAAUCACGCAUGUUCGAAAAUACAAUUCGAAAUUUCCCCUAUUGGCACGCGUCUCGAGGUCAUUGGACUCGAUCACUAGAAAAUUUUUGACAGUAACGAAAACUCAAUCCGAGCACAAUGAUGGAAAACCCACAAUCUCAAAAGUCUAGAUGUACAAUUAUUUUGGCCAAAAAGUGGCUGGAAAAUUCUAGAUCGUCGUUUGAAGUUUCAAUGCUGGCGAGCUUAUUCAAUGGUAAAAUGACAAAGAUCGAGGCUGAGUUACGAGAAACUCAUUUCCGGUGUCUUCUCUUCCAUUUAAGGUCGAGAAACGACUAAUUCGAAGGUAGCAGCUAGUUAGAGAGAGAAAUCCAACUUCCAAGUUUUUGUUUCGGCAAUUUCAGGCUGUUUCCGGCAAAACCAAGGGUGGAGCUGAGCCAACAUUGUCGAUAAGGGUUCUAGCAGGAGGUCCACAACCAAUGGUGUCCGGACGACAAGGAAACAAUGAGAGAGGGAUGGGCGACAAUGGGUAUUUUCAUGGAAAGCGAGACAAGUAGGGGGACGGGUUUUUCUUUUUUUAAAAUUUCAAUUUGGUGCUU
RNAcentral lists this long non-coding RNA (619 nucleotides) under Ricinus communis (castor bean). RNAcentral describes it as "long non-coding RNA (RCOM_LNC000220)". Lineage: Eukaryota; Viridiplantae; Streptophyta; Magnoliopsida; Malpighiales; Euphorbiaceae. The record is from RNAcentral.